AGAAUUGUAACACCCCAAAACCCAAGUCCAAAAACUUUUGUGUGGACAGGCCCGCUCUGCGGCCCAUUUGGAUUAAAAACCCUAGGGUUCCUUGCUUCCCCUAUAAAAGCAAGCCUCCACCCUUAGCCUUCCAUCACAAAUUUAGAAGCGAAGCCCUGCAGAGAAGUCCCGGAGAUCAGAAACCCUAGCCGUCGUCUCCUUCCUUCUCUCUCCCUGCGCCGCCUCUCCUCUCUUUCUCUCUCUUCGCCGCGGCUCUUCUCUCUCUCUCCUCG
RNAcentral lists this long non-coding RNA (272 nucleotides) under Brassica rapa (field mustard). RNAcentral describes it as "long non-coding RNA (BRAP_LNC007528)". The record is from RNAcentral. Lineage: Eukaryota; Viridiplantae; Streptophyta; Magnoliopsida; Brassicales; Brassicaceae.